AGUGAACGCUGGCGGUAGGCCUAACACAUGCCAGUCGAACGGCAGCACAGUAAGAGCUUGCUCUUACGGGUGGCGAGUGGCGGACGGGUGAGGAAUACAUCGGAAUCUACUUUUUCGUGGGGGAUAACGUAGGGAAACUUACGCUAAUACCGCAUACGACCUACGGGUGAAAGCAGGGGAUCUUCGGACCUUGCGCGAUUGAAUGAGCCGAUGUCGGAUUAGCUAGUUGGCAGGGUAAAGGCCCACCAAGGCGACGAUCCGUAGCUGGUCUGAGAGGAUGAUCAGCCACACUGGAACUGAGACACGGUCCAGACUCCUACGGGAGGCAGCAGUGGGGAAUAUUGGACAAUGGGCGCAAGCCUGAUCCAGCCAUACCGCGUGGGUGAAGAAGGCCUUCGGGUUGUAAAGCCCUUUUGUUGGGAAAGAAAAGCAGCAGGUUAAUACCCCGCUGUUCUGACGGUACCCAAAGAAUAAGCACCGGCUAACUUCGUG
RNAcentral lists this ribosomal RNA (492 nucleotides) under uncultured bacterium. Its description in RNAcentral is "partial 16S ribosomal RNA". It matches the Rfam family "Bacterial small subunit ribosomal RNA", at positions 29 to 507 of the family's 1533-position model. The record is from RNAcentral.